Misgurnus anguillicaudatus (oriental weatherfish) is the source of this 2580-nucleotide non-coding RNA. NCBI's taxonomy places the organism in Eukaryota, Metazoa, Chordata, Actinopteri, Cypriniformes, Cobitidae. The record is from RefSeq and is a predicted model, not a curated record.
CACUGUUAACGAUUUCUGUAAAUUACACUGUAUUUUACUGUAAUAUGAACUGUAUUUUACCGUAGGGCAUGUUAUACAGUAUGUUGCUGUAUUUUGAUGUUGCAUUGUGGGAAAUGUAAUCUUUGUGCCAGUAAAAUACUGUAUUUUCUAUUUACUGUAAAAUUUACAGUUAAUUAAAAAUACUGUAUUUUAAUAGCAGGUGGUGCUAAUUUGUUUUUUGGGGAUUAACUCUCUGAUUAAGCUAUCUUAUACAAAUAAUGUAAUAUUAUUGUAUUUAUAUAUUGAUUUAAAAUGUAAAGUAAAAUUCAGAAGACUUAAACAAAGUCCUAAAAACAAUCAAACAACUAAAUUAGUGCAAGUAGAGCUGAUUUAUUUAUCAAAACACAAUAUAAUCAUCUUCAUUAAAGUAUUUUGUAUAUUCGAAUUAAUUUACAAAUGUAAGUGUUUAAAAAUUAGAGAUAGGUUUUGCCGGUUGUUGAUGAGUGAUGAAUACCAGCUGUGAAUUUUCUCAACGCGUGUAAGCAGCCACGACACAGGAAACCGAAACAGUGUUCCAAUAUAAAGUGAGGGUCCUUGACAGUGGCCGAACCCGCAUACUACACGAUAUAAUGAUUCCCCACCUCGGGAGCUAUAGGGAACGAAUUGAGACACAGCCCUGGAUGUAAUCACGUCUGUGCUGAUCACGUGCCUGUACACAAACCCGCCGCAGCUCACUUGCAAAAGAUUAUCCUGUUAUUUAUUACACGUAUACGUAAAGUAAACGUUUUUAAUGUUAUCAUGAAUCAAUGUUAUAGUUUUGUAUGUCACAUUAUUUUUUGAGAAGAGUCAUGACUCAACGCGGACCUUACACGCUGUUAAUUUGUGUGUGCAUAUGGCGGUACAGGCUCUUUUGCACUCUAUGACCAGCCAUCAUUAAAUCGAAAUACAGUAAAAAAAUGAGCGCGAAACCCUGACACUUUACAGAAAGGCACGGAUAUCCCCGCCCGAAGAAAAAAAGAGCACAGGACAAUGGUUGCAAGUUAAACAGCUGAACAUUUCACCAUCUGCAAAGAACAUUUCACCAUCGACAUAUCAACAUAAACGGUUCUCUUUUUCGUGUUUGACUGCGUUUGGUACAGGUCACAACAACAACGGCAGAUGCAGAGACCACGCUUUCCCUUGCUUCCACUCCACGGCUGAUCAUGCUUGAGGAUCCAGAUCUACAAAACAAAAAAUGGAUGCUGCCGAUUGAAGGCUAAGUCCGCUUUCCUGCGAUUGACCUACCAUUUCUUCAGCUUUUGCUGUUCACUUUGGUUGCUACUACGUGCUCAACAUCGAGUACCAAGUGGAAGCAGCCACUACUUUGGAGUUUAUUCAGAGAUUUAUUGUGAGGAUCAGCCCCGACAACAGCAAGUGCUCCUCUAAGUUCCAGGUGAGCAAAAGAAGUGGGAAGAUGGUGCAAAGGAAGAACUCUGGCCUGAACCAUCAUGUAUAUAUCCACCUUUAUUCAGGACUUUAUGAAUUAAGCAAAACUAUUAAGCAACUAAAGCAAAUACAUUCUACUCAACUCACCAGAGGUUUGUGAAGUUCUUUUUUUAUCUUAAAGGUUUCUUUUAGUUAAUUUGUCCAUGCACUGAUUUAUAAUAUUGUAAUAUGAAACUCCAGUGUAUACAUGUUACUACUGUUGCUUCUAAAAGCAAAAUAAGUCUACGCAGGAGAGGUUUUGUUACGUUUUUUUUAUUAUUCUUAUAGACGGUUUCAUCGGAUGCACGUGAUACACGUCUGGAUCCGAACCUUACUUCCGGUUUCGCUUUUUUAAUGGUCUGACUAGUUGCUAAACUGAUCUCUUGAACAAAUGCCUCGUCGAAAAUAACAAAUGUUUUGGUUUCCGAGCUAAUCUAUGUGUUGUUGUUUUUUGCUUGUUAUAUAAAUAAAAUGCGUUUAAAGAACUUUGUUGUUUUUUAUUCUUAGCGGAGUUUAUCGGAAGUUCAUGCGGACCGCGACAGCCGUUUGUUUAUGUUGUUACUGCUGAAACCGUCUAUAGUUAUAACUGAAUUUGUACUAAGAUUAUUUGAUAAUACUGUGAAAUGAAACGGUGAGUAAAUGUUACAUUGGCUUUGAAAAAGCUGUUGCUGCAAGAAAUUACAAUUUACUCAGAAUAAUAUUUUGAAUGUAUGAGUUUUUGACAUUGCUUAUGACUGCAUUUGAAUGUAUUGUUCAUGAAUUGAUGCUGUGAUGUGUGUGUAAAUGUUUUGUGUGUUACAGGAUAAAAGAUUUGCUAAAAGUAUUUUGUAUUUGAACAUUGUUAUUAUGACUGAGUUAGUGCAUGAUUUGAUUUAAAAUUCUGUAAUAUGAUAUCUAUGAGUAAAUGUUAUUGCCGGUUUGAGAAAAACAGUUUGUGAUGCAAGCUGAAAGUUCAAUGUGCAAAAAUAUGAAAAUCUGAUUUCAUGUAUUUGAAAAACUAAAAGAAAUUUUAAAAACAUGUUGUCAUUGCUUAUUUUUGUUUUUACUUAAAGCUGUUUUAACACCUCCAUUUAAAUUUUGUGCAGUUUUGUAGUAAAUAGAAAUGGGAAAAUGAAUCACAGGAAAUUUUACAGUAAA